UACGUAGGUGGCAAGCGUUAUCCGGAUUUACUGGGUGUAAAGGGCGUGUAGGCGGGGACGCAAGUCAGAUGCGAAAACCACGGGCUCAACCUGUGGCCUGCAUUUGAAACUGUGUUUCUUGAGUACUGGAGAGGCAGACGGAAUUCCUAGUGUAGCGGUGAAAUGCGUAGAUAUUAGGAGGAACACCAGUGGCGAAGGCGGUCUGCUGGACAGCAACUGACGCUGAGGCGCGAAAGCGUGGGGAGCAAACAGG
Molecule: ribosomal RNA, 253 nt
Filed under: uncultured bacterium
Lineage: Bacteria
Description: partial 16S ribosomal RNA
Rfam family: Bacterial small subunit ribosomal RNA
Source: RNAcentral